Molecule: long non-coding RNA, 774 nt
Organism: Oncorhynchus tshawytscha (Chinook salmon)
Lineage: Eukaryota; Metazoa; Chordata; Actinopteri; Salmoniformes; Salmonidae
Source: Ensembl
GGAGAAAAUAAGGGUACAUAACAUGGGUAUUGGAGUCAUUAAGGGUACGUAAAUAGGGUAUUGGGAGUCAUUAAGGGUACAUAGCUAGGGUAUUGGGGUCAUUAAGGGCACAUAACUAGGGUACGUAACUAGGGUAUUGGAGUCAUUAAGGGUACGGAACUAGGGUAUUGGAGUCAUUAAGGGUACAUAACUAGGGUAUUGGAGUCAUCAAGGGUACAUAACUAGGGUAUUGGAGUCAUUGGAGUCAUUAAGGGUAUGUAACUAGGGUAUUGGAGUCAUUGGAGUCAUUAAGGGUGCGUAACUAGGGUACAUAACUACGGUAUUGGAGUCAUUAAGGGUACGUAACUAGGGUAUUGGAGUCAUUAGGGGUACGUAACUAGGGUACAUAACUAGGGUAUAGGCUGUCAUUACGAGUACAUAACUAGGGUACGUAACUAGGGUAUUGGAGUCAUUAAGGGUACAUAACUAGGGUAUUGGAGUAAUUAAGGGUACAUAACUAGGGUAUUGGAGUCAUUAAGGGUACGUAACUAGGGUACGUAACUAGAGUAUUGGAGUCAUUAAGGGUACGUAACUAGGGUAUUGGAGUCAUUAAGAGUACGUAACUAGGGUAUUGGAGUCAUUAAGGGUACGUAACUAGGGUAUUGGAGUCAUUAAGGGUACAUAACUAGGGUAUUGGAGUCAUUAAGGGUACGUAACUAGGGUAUUGGAGUCAUUAAGGGUACGUAACCAGGGUAUUGGAGUCAUUAAGGGUACGUAACUAGGGUAUUGGAGUCA